Non-coding RNA from Marmota flaviventris (yellow-bellied marmot), 1258 nucleotides. Lineage: Eukaryota; Metazoa; Chordata; Mammalia; Rodentia; Sciuridae. The record is from RefSeq and is a predicted model, not a curated record.
UAGUGUUCUAGGCUUACCGUACGUUUCCGCUUCUGCGGACCAUGGGUAGGAGUGCAAGCAUCGGAGCAAACCGCUCUUCUCACAACCGUGUCUGGAUCUUCCGGGGUUGAUGAAAGGAAAGUCCGGCAGGGGGCGCUUUUUCGUCAUGGGCCAGAACACUCCCCAGGCCCAGAAUGAGAAGAAGCUCAACAAGCCAGCCGGUCUUCUACACGAGAUCAGUUGUUCAAAUGUAAAGAAUCCGAGUCAAGACUGAAGGCAACCUCUUCAGGUCAUUGUUGACGUGAAGAAACAGAAUUGCGGAGCUGAACCGAGUCCCUCCUUCCUGGAGCCGAUGGGCAUUCCGCCAAGGUUCAGGCUCUGAUUGCAAAAGAAACCAAGAAGGAAGGGACAUCCAGGGUAAAAGGAUCCUUUUUCAACCCCCCGCCCCCAGAGGUCCCACCUGCCACGAUCUUUUCCGGAAUCCUGGUGUCGGAGAAGGUGCUGCGAGACUGAAGAAAGAGGACGACAGGUUCAGAUCUGCACAAGGUGUGACUUUUAGGCACAGAACCGUCUUGGGUAGCAGCAAGACAAGGCGCACCCCGGACUCGGGCAGGAGGGGGGACUGAUCUGCUGAGCUAGACAAAGGGGGCCUUGUCUGUCUAGGAAACAGUGGGGCGUCGGGGUGUCACACGAAUCCUUGUAUUCUGUAGAGUUUGGAAUGCGUACCAGGGUCACCUAACCAGCAGAGUGGCAGUUGCACCCCAGAUGACUUAGUCAGGUCAAGCUAGAUGCCUACAAAGUCACUUACUAGCGGCUGCUACUCUGCGAGGCCCAAGGCCCGGGUGACCGUCCACGCAGAUGCCGGGCAACGCGGUGCCGCGGGGCCCAGGAGCCUCAGCCCCGCGGGUUGUGCGCCUCUUCUCUGGGCCCAGAGGAACGUGCCUGCGGCUGCGCCCAGGACGGUCCCUAGCGCUGGAAGACGGUCGGCUGCGUCGCGUCGCACCGAAGCCACGGCCGUCCCUGUCCUUCGCGCGGUCUGUGCCAUCAGGCCUGCUCGGGUCACGCGGACGGCUCCGCUUCCACGCGGCUCUGGCAGCGCUCCUGGUGAUCAAAGAGGACGCGGCGGCCGGGGCGGCGAGUCGCCAGGCCUCCGCUCGGAGGUCGAGGCCGUCGGGGAGGAGGCGCGGCGGGCGGCGAGAGGGGAAACCAGGCUCGUGGCCUUUUCCGUGCUCACGCACACCCGAGGUCCCCGCUCCUGCCCCUUCCUCCGCCUCUCCAG